GCCGGUGUAGCUCUGGUGGUAGAGCAACUGACUUGUAAUCAGUAGGUUGGGGGUUCAAGUCCUCUUGCCGGCAC
This 74-nucleotide transfer RNA is filed under the name Bacillus safensis. RNAcentral describes it as "tRNA-Thr". It matches the Rfam family "tRNA". From Rfam's summary of the family: Transfer RNA (tRNA) molecules are approximately 80 nucleotides in length. Lineage: Bacteria; Bacillati; Bacillota; Bacilli; Caryophanales; Bacillaceae. The record is from RNAcentral.